GAUGAAGAACGCAGCGAAAUGCGAUAAGUAAUGUGAAUUGCAGAAUUCAGUGAAUCAUCGAAUCUUUGAACGCACCUUGCGCCCUUUGGCUAUUCCGAAGGGCAUGCCUGUUUGAGUAUCAUGAACACCUCAACCCUCAUGGUUUGCCAUGACGGGCUUGGACUUUGGGGGUCUUGCUGGAUUGUAGUCAGCUCCCCUUAAACAAAUCAGCUUGCCAGUGUUUGGUGGCAUCACAGGUGUGAUAACUAUCUACGCUUGUGGUUUUACAUCAGAUAACCUUCAGUGAUGGAGGUUCACCGGAGCUCAUAAAGGUGUCUCUCCUCUGUGAGGACAGCUCUUUGAAUGUUUGAUCUCAAAUGAGGCAGGACUACCCGCUGAACUUAAGCAUAUCAAUAAGCGGAGGA
This 404-nucleotide unclassified non-coding RNA is filed under the name soil metagenome. RNAcentral describes it as "partial contains 5.8S ribosomal RNA, internal transcribed spacer 2, and large subunit ribosomal RNA". The stretch from base 1 to 121 matches the Rfam family "5.8S ribosomal RNA", at positions 35 to 154 of the family's 154-position model. The record is from RNAcentral.